CAGUAGCCACGGUAAUACGUAGGGUGCGAGCGUUAAUCGGAAUUACUGGGCGUAAAGCGUGCGCAGGCGGUUCGCUAAGACAGAUGUGAAAUCCCCGGGCUUAACCUGGGAACUGCAUUUGUGACUGGCGGGCUAGAGUAUGGCAGAGGGGGGUAGAAUUCCACGUGUAGCAGUGAAAUGCGUAGAGAUGUGGAGGAAUACCGAUGGCGAAGGCAGCCCCCUGGGCCAAUACUGACGCUCAUGCACGAAAGCGUGGGGAGCAAACAGGAUUAGAUACCCCCGUAGUCCCUGUCUCUUAUAC
This 301-nucleotide ribosomal RNA is filed under the name uncultured bacterium. RNAcentral's name for it is "partial 16S ribosomal RNA". It matches the Rfam family "Bacterial small subunit ribosomal RNA", at positions 509 to 807 of the family's 1533-position model. The record is from RNAcentral.